This 468-nucleotide ribosomal RNA is filed under the name uncultured bacterium. RNAcentral's name for it is "partial 16S ribosomal RNA". It matches the Rfam family "Bacterial small subunit ribosomal RNA", at positions 28 to 507 of the family's 1533-position model. The record is from RNAcentral.
GACGAACGCUGGCGGCGUGCUUAACACAUGCAAGUCGAACGGACAUUCCCUGCUUUUUUGGGGUGCUCGAGUUGCGAACUGGUGAGUAACACGUGAGUAACCUGCCCUUGACUUUGGGUUAACUUAAUGAAACUUGGGCUAAUACCGGAUAGGAGCUCCUGCUUCAUGGUGGGGGCUGGACAGUUUCGGCGGUUGGGGUUGGACUCGCGGCUUAUCAGCUUGUUGGUGUGGUAGUGGUUUACCAAGGCUUUGACGAGUAGCAGGAGUGAGAGGGUGACCGGGCACAGUGGGACUGAGACACGGCCACGACCCAUACGGGAGGCAGAAGUAGGGAAGAUGGAACAAUGGGAAGAAGCGAGAGGCAGAAACGGCGAGGGCGGGAUAACGGCCUUCGGGUUGGAAACCGAUAACGCCUGUGACGAAGAGUAAGAGGAGGGAAUGGGUAAAGAAGGACCGGCUAAAUACGGG